GAUGAACGCUGGCGGCGCGCCUAAUACAUGCAAGUCGAGCGAACAGAUAAGGAGCUUGCUCCUUUGACGUUAGCGGCGGACGGGUGAGUAACACGUGGAUAACCUACCUAUAAGACUGGGAUAACUUCGGGAAACUGGAGCUAAUACCGGAUAACAUAUUGAACCGCAUGGUUCAAUAGUGAAAGGCGGCUUUGCUGUCACUUAUAGAUGGAUCCGCGCCGUAUUAGCUAGUUGGUAAGGUAACGGCUUACCAAGGCAACGAUACGUAGCCGACCUGAGAGGGUGAUCGGCCACACUGGAACUGAGACACGGUCCAGACUCCUACGGGAGGCAGCAGUAGGGAAUCUUCCGCAAUGGGCGAAAGCCUGACGGAGCAACGCCGCGUGAGUGAUGAAGGUCUUCGGAUCGUAAAACUCUGUUAUCAGGGAAGAACAAAUGUGUAAGUAACUGUGCACAUCUUGACGGUACCUGAUCAGAAAGCCACGGCUAACUACGUG
This 497-nucleotide ribosomal RNA is filed under the name uncultured bacterium. RNAcentral's name for it is "partial 16S ribosomal RNA". It matches the Rfam family "Bacterial small subunit ribosomal RNA", at positions 28 to 507 of the family's 1533-position model. The record is from RNAcentral.